RNAcentral lists this ribosomal RNA (377 nucleotides) under uncultured archaeon. RNAcentral's name for it is "bacterial SSU rRNA". It matches the Rfam family "Archaeal small subunit ribosomal RNA", at positions 1 to 374 of the family's 1478-position model. The record is from RNAcentral.
UUCGCCCUUUUCCGGUUGAUCCCGCCGGACCUGACUGCUAUCGGAUUGAUACUAAGCCAUGCGAGUCAUUGUAGCAAUACAAGGCAUACGGCUCAGUAACGCGUAGUCAACCUAACCUAUGGACGGGAAUAACCUCGGGAAACUGAGAAUAAUGUCCGAUAGAACACUAUACCUGGAAUGGUUUGUGUUCCAAAUGAUUUAUCGCCGUAGGAUGGGACUGCGGCCUAUCAGUUUGUUGGUGAGGUAAUGGCCCACCAAGACUAUUACAGGUACGGGCUCUGAGAGGAGUAGCCCGGAGAUGGGUACUGAGACACGGACCCAGGCCCUAUGGGGCGCAGCAGGCGAGAAAACUUUGCAAUGUGCGAAAGCACGACAAG